RNAcentral lists this non-coding RNA (24 nucleotides) under Arabidopsis thaliana (thale cress). Lineage: Eukaryota; Viridiplantae; Streptophyta; Magnoliopsida; Brassicales; Brassicaceae. The record is from RNAcentral.
UAACCUAACUAUUUUGAGAAGAAG